UAGAGUUUGAUCCUGGCUCAGGACGAACGCUGGCGGCGUGCCUAACACAUGCAAGUCGAGCGAUGAAGUUCCUUCGGGAAUGGAUUAGCGGCGGACGGGUGAGUAACACGUGGGCAACCUGCCUCAAAGUGGGGGAUAGCCUCCCGAAAGGGAGAUUAAUACCGCAUAACAUUAUCUCUUUGCAUGAAGAGAUAAUCAAAGGAGCAAUCCGCUUUGAGAUGGGCCCGCGGCGCAUUAGCUAGUUGGUGAGGUAACGGCUCACCAAGGCGACGAUGCGUAGCCGACCUGAGAGGGUGAUCGGCCACAUUGGAACUGAGAUACGGUCCAGACUCCUACGGGAGGCAGCAGUGGGGAAUAUUGCGCAAUGGGGGAAACCCUGACGCAGCAACGCCGCGUGAGUGAUGAAGGUCUUCGGAUUGUAAAACUCUGUCUUUGGGGACGAUAAUGACGGUACCCAAGGAGGAAGCCACGGCUAACUACGUGCCAGCAGCCGCGGUAAUACGUAGGUGGCAAGCGUUGUCCGGAUUUACUGGGCGUAAAGAGUAUGUAGGCGGACAUUUAAGUCAGAUGUGAAAUCCCCGGGCUUAACCUGGGAGCUGCAUUUGAUACUGGGUGUCUAGAGUGUAGGAGAGGAAAGUGGAAUUCCUAGUGUAGCGGUGAAAUGCGUAGAGAUUAGGAAGAACACCAGUGGCGAAGGCGACUUUCUGGACUAUAACUGACGCUGAGAUACGAAAGCGUGGGGAGCAAACAGGAUUAGAUACCCUGGUAGUCNNNGCCG
RNAcentral lists this ribosomal RNA (778 nucleotides) under bacterium enrichment culture clone 4-25. Its description in RNAcentral is "bacterial SSU rRNA". It matches the Rfam family "Bacterial small subunit ribosomal RNA", at positions 1 to 802 of the family's 1533-position model. The record is from RNAcentral.